RNAcentral lists this ribosomal RNA (465 nucleotides) under uncultured bacterium. RNAcentral describes it as "partial 16S ribosomal RNA". It matches the Rfam family "Bacterial small subunit ribosomal RNA", at positions 28 to 507 of the family's 1533-position model. The record is from RNAcentral.
GACGAACGCUGGCGGCGUGCUUAACACAUGCAAGUCGAACGGAAAGGCCCUGCUUGCAGGGUACUCGAGUGGCGAACGGGUGAGUAACACGUGGGUGAUCUGCCCUGCACUUCGGGAUAAGCCUGGGAAACUGGGUCUAAUACCGGAUAGGAGCCAUUUUUAGUGUGAUGGUUGGAAAGUUUUUUCGGUGUAGGAUGAGCUCGCGGCCUAUCAGCUUGUUGGUGGGGUAAUGGCCUACCAAGGCGGCGACGGGUAGCCGGCCUGAGAGGGUGGACGGCCACAUUGGGACUGAGAUACGGCCCAGACUCCUACGGGAGGCAGCAGUGGGGAAUAUUGCACAAUGGGCGCAAGCCUGAUGCAGCGACGCCGCGUGGGGGAUGACAGCCUUCGGGUUGUAAACUCCUUUCGCUAGGGACGAAGCUUUUUGUGACGGUACCUAGAUAAGAAGCACCGGCUAACUACGUG